AAGACCUUGCGCUUUUGGAGCGGCCGAUGUCUGAUUAGCUAGUUGGUAGGGUAAUGGCCUACCAAAGCUUCGAUCAGUAGCUGGUCUGAGAGGACGACCAGCCACACUGGGACUGAGACACGGCCCAGACUCCUACGGGAGGCAGCAGUGGGGAAUUUUGGACAAUGGGCGCAAGCCUGAUCCAGCCAUGCCGCGUGAGUGAAGAAGGCCUUCGGGUUGUAAAGCUCUUUCAGCCGGGAAGAAAAGGCUACGACGAAUAAUCGUAGCUCAUGACGGUACCGGAAGAAGAAGCACCGGCUAACUACGUGCCAGCAGCCGCGGUAAUACGUAGGGUGCGAGCGUUAAUCGGAAUUACUGGGCGUAAAGGGUGCGCAGGCGGUUUUGUAAGUCAGAUGUGAAKUCCCCGGGCUUAACCUGGGAACU
This 423-nucleotide ribosomal RNA is filed under the name uncultured bacterium. Its description in RNAcentral is "bacterial SSU rRNA". It matches the Rfam family "Bacterial small subunit ribosomal RNA", at positions 207 to 622 of the family's 1533-position model. The record is from RNAcentral.